GCCCCAGUGGCGGAAUUGGUAGACGCAGGGGACUGGCACUCCCCCGGCCUUUGCAGUACCAAGCUGCAAGCCGUCCGGGUUCAACUCCCGGCUGGGGCACCA
RNAcentral lists this transfer RNA (102 nucleotides) under Gammaproteobacteria bacterium. Its description in RNAcentral is "tRNA-Ala". It matches the Rfam family "tRNA". Rfam says of the family: Transfer RNA (tRNA) molecules are approximately 80 nucleotides in length. Their secondary structure includes four short double-helical elements and three loops (D, anti-codon, and T loops). The record is from RNAcentral. Lineage: Bacteria; Pseudomonadati; Pseudomonadota; Gammaproteobacteria.